UACGUAGGGUGCGAGCGUUGUCCGGAAUUACUGGGCGUAAAGAGCUCGUAGGUGGUUUGUCGCGUCGUCUGUGAAAUUCCGGGGCUUAACUUCGGGCGUGCAGGCGAUACGGGCAAUACUUGAGUGCUGUAGGGGAGACUGGAAUUCCUGGUGUAGCGGUGGAAUGCGCAGAUAUCAGGAGGAACACCGAUGGCGAAGGCAGGUCUCUGGGCAGUAACUGACGCUGAGGAGCGAAAGCAUGGGUAGCGAACAGGAUUAGA
Molecule: ribosomal RNA, 260 nt
Filed under: uncultured prokaryote
Description: partial 16S ribosomal RNA
Rfam family: Bacterial small subunit ribosomal RNA
Source: RNAcentral